GAUGAACGCUGACAGAAUGCUUAACACAUGCCAGUCUUUGGCGAAGCUGUGCUUGCACAGCCUAGCCAAGGCGGACGGGUGAGUAGCGCGUAAGGAACUUGCCCUGCAGUCAGGGAUAACAGACGGAAACGACUGAUAAGACCUGGUAAAGUCAGGCGGACUCAUGUCCAGCCUGAUGAAAAGUGAUGCUGCAGGAGAGCCUUGCGUCCUAUUAGCUUGUUGGUGGGGUAACGGCCCACCAAGGCGAUGAUAGGUAGCCGGCCUGAGAGGGUGGACGGCCACAAGGGGACUGAGAUACGGCCCUUACUCCUACGGGAGGCAGCAGUGGGGAAUAUUGGACAAUGGGGGCAACCCUGAUCCAGCAAUUCUGUGUGCACGAUGAAGGUUUUCGGAUUGUAAAGUGCUUUCAGCAGGGAAGAAAAAAAUGACGGUACCUGCAGAAGAAGCGACGGCUAAAUACGUG
This 463-nucleotide ribosomal RNA is filed under the name uncultured bacterium. RNAcentral's name for it is "partial 16S ribosomal RNA". It matches the Rfam family "Bacterial small subunit ribosomal RNA", at positions 28 to 507 of the family's 1533-position model. The record is from RNAcentral.